This is a long non-coding RNA of Labrus mixtus (cuckoo wrasse), 605 nucleotides long. RefSeq lists it as uncharacterized. The transcript is spliced from 3 exons. Lineage: Eukaryota; Metazoa; Chordata; Actinopteri; Labriformes; Labridae. The record is from RefSeq and is a predicted model, not a curated record.
GACUUUAAAACGGCCCGCCAGAGGAGAUCAGACUUGCAGAGCCCAGUGUGCAAUGCUUCAUGACAAACUUACCACCCAGCGCAGCCACAGGCUGGUCUCACUGGCUGUGCGCAGCGUGACAUUAGCCGGGGAGAUGUCUGGAGGGGCCUGCAGGGUCUCGAUCUUCCUGGAGGGCUGGCUCGGCGGACUGGUGCCCACAAUGUUUACCUGACGCAUUCGAAACCUGGAGCGAGGAAGAAACAGCUGAUGCUGGAUAAACGAGUCUAAAGGUCACACCUACCCGUUCACACCCAUGACAGAUUGGCAGACUGAAGGUUGCUAUGCAAAGUAACAAUCAGAAGCAACUAAUCCCAUUCAGACACAUUCACCUCACGUCUACCAAGCAAUUUGGGGUUAAGUGUCUUGCCCAAUUGGACAUGUGGCUGCAGGAGCUGGGGAUCGCACCCCCAACCUUCUGGUUAAGAGAUGACAGACUCUACCAACUGAGCCACAGCUGUUGGUAUAAAAGUGAUCUGUGCUACCCAACAUUUUCUGUCUAUUUUCUCACAUUUUUUGUCCCUAUUCAUUAUUUGAGACCUAAUCAUACCAAAAGCAAUACAAAUAAA